AGUUUGAUCCUGGCUCAGAUUGAACGCUGGCGGUAUGCUUAACACAUGCAAGUCGAACGGAAACGAUACUAGCUUGUUAGUAGGCGUCGAGUGGCGGACGGGUGAGUAACGCGUAGGAAUCUGCCUGAUAGUGGGGGAUAGCCCGAAGAAAUUCGGAUUAAUACCGCAUAAUCUAUUCGUAGUAAAGUGGGGGACUUUCGAGCCUCACGCUAUCAGAUGAGCCUGCGUAAGAUUAGCUAGUUGGUAGGGUAAAAGCCUACCAAGGCAACGAUCUUUAGCUGGUCUGAGAGGAUGAUCAGCCACAUCGGGACUGAGACACGGCCCGAACUCCUACGGGAGGCAGCAGUGGGGAAUAUUGGACAAUGGGGGCAACCCUGAUCCAGCAAUACCGCGUGUGUGAAGAAGGCCUGAGGGUUGUAAAGCACUUUCAAUUGUGAAGAAAAGUUAACGGUUAAUAACCGUUAGCCUUGACGUUAACUUUAGAAGAAGCACCGGCUAACUCCGUGCCAGCAGCCGCGGUAAUACGGAGGGUGCAAGCGUUAAUCGGAAUUACUGGGCGUAAAGCGUGCGUAGGCGGUUUAUUAAGUCAGAUGUGAAAGCCCCGGGCUUAACCUGGGAACUGCAUUUGAAACUGGUCAACUAGAGUAUGGUAGAGGAAAGUGGAAUUUCUGGUGUAGCGGUGAAAUGCGUAGAUAUCAGAAGGAACAUCAAUGGCGAAGGCAGCUUUCUGGACCAAUACUGACGCUGAGGUACGAAAGCGUGGGUAGCAAACAGGAUUAGAUACCCUGGUAGUCCACGCCGUAAACGAUGAUAACUAGCCGUUGGGGGGAUUUACCCUUUAGUGGCGAAGCUAACGCGUUAAGUUAUCCGCCUGGGGAGUACGGCCGCAAGGUUAAAACUCAAAGGAAUUGACGGGGACCCGCACAAGCGGUGGAGCAUGUGGUUUAAUUCGAUGCAACGCGAAGAACCUUACCUGGUCUUGACAUCCUGCGAACUUUCUAGAAAUAGAUUGGUGCCUUCGGGAACGCAGUGACAGGUGCUGCAUGGCUGUCGUCAGCUCGUGUCGUGAGAUGUUGGGUUAAGUCCCGUAACGAGCGCAACCCCUAUCCUUAUUUGCCAGCACAUUAUGGUGGGAACUAUAAGGAGACUGCCGGUGAUAAACCGGAGGAAGGCGGGGACGACGUCAAGUCAUCAUGGCCCUUACGACCAGGGCUACACACGUGCUACAAUGGGAAGGACAAAGAGCCGCGAAGCCGCGAGGUGUAGCUAAUCUCAUAAAUCUUUUCGUAGUCCGGAUUGGAGUCUGCAACUCGACUCCAUGAAGUCGGAAUCGCUAGUAAUCGUAGAUCAGAAUGCUACGGUGAAUACGUUCCCGGGUCUUGUACACACCGCCCGUCAUACCAUGGGAGUGGGUUGCACCAGAAGUGGCUAGUCUAACUUUGUGAGGACGGUCACCACGGUGUGAUUCAUGACUGGGGUAAAGUCGUAACAAGGUAACC
Molecule: ribosomal RNA, 1499 nt
Filed under: uncultured bacterium
Lineage: Bacteria
Description: bacterial SSU rRNA
Rfam family: Bacterial small subunit ribosomal RNA
Source: RNAcentral